UUCUACUUCUCCUCUUCCUUCGACAAUUUCUUUUUCUAGAUUCUAAUUUUUUUUAAUCAUCUUCUGCUUCUACUCGCAAUCAUCCUCACCCCUCUCCCCGCACCUGAUAGACUCCCACAAAAAUAUCAUCUAAUAUUGUGUCAUUUCAUUCAAAUAUUGUCUCGUCAACAAAAAUUUCAUGUGGCACAUCUAAAAGAACACCUCAAGAGUCUAAAGUCCAAAACUACAAGGAAACUUUGUUGCAGAUACAAAAAAAAAAAAAUCAAUUAUUAAAAAGUUCUACUGGAUUUGAAAUCUUGUUUCAUAAGAUAACAUCUGAUGUGGACCAACCCUUAAUGAAGGCUAAUGAGCUUCAAGAAUUAGAAACGGAAAGACCAUUGACUAGAGGGAAGGCUAGGAAGCUAAAUGAACAAUUAGAGAAACAAGUUGUUAAUUUUCUUAGUCUUAAGACCUAUGAAAAGAUUGAUCCAUAUUAUAUUAAUCUUUUAGUCCUAGAAAUAUCUUAAGACUUAAUGUUAAUUUUGGGAUGUAAUAAUCAUACCUUAUAAUUAGGAAUUAUGUUGACUUGUGUGUGUCCCUAAAUAUUUGGUAGCUUAGGCACAAUGUCAUUAGUUGUGUGUAGCCUAUGUACCAACAUGUAAUAAUUAUUCUAGGUUAUUUUCUUUAUUAUGGAAAAUAAAUGUUUUAUUUUAUGAUUAUAAUAUUAAACAAAAAGUGAUGUCCUGCUUCCUAGAAUA
Non-coding RNA from Cicer arietinum (chickpea), 737 nucleotides. The record is from RefSeq and is a predicted model, not a curated record. Lineage: Eukaryota; Viridiplantae; Streptophyta; Magnoliopsida; Fabales; Fabaceae.